This is a non-coding RNA of Aegilops tauschii subsp. strangulata, 5011 nucleotides long. NCBI's taxonomy places the organism in Eukaryota, Viridiplantae, Streptophyta, Magnoliopsida, Poales, Poaceae. The record is from RefSeq and is a predicted model, not a curated record.
AUGCUCUGUUAACUGGUGCUGGGCUGAAUGAAGCAUACUCCGGUUAAUUGCGGACCCGGCCCACGUUCCCAAAACCCAACGCAAACCCCGCCGCCGUUUCAGCCCAUCCUCCUUAUCCCAAAAUCAGUCUCUCUGCCGCCGCCACCUCCGCCACCACCUCCACCACCGCCACGGCGCCCGCCGGUGAACCCCACGGUUGGCGACCAUCGCGCGCUCCACCGCCCUCCCCACCGCUCGGCUCCUCCUGCGCGGGCGCAUGGCCUCCUUCGCCUCCGUUGCGACCCUCCCCCUUCCCACCUGCUCCUCCUCCGACGACGACUCUGACGACGCCAAGCCCCUCCCGCCUCUACCCGCAUCGAAAGAAAUACGCCCUCCUCCGCAGCACCAGCAGCAGCCGCAGCCGCAGCGGCGGCAGCUGGAGCGCGACUGCAACGUGGCCAUGAAGGCCCUGGCGCGCGCGGGCGACGUCGACCAGGUGCUCGCCCGCUUCGCCGAGCUCAGGGCUUCCGGGACCCCCAGCGUGCUCUCCUACAACACUCUCAUGAACGCGCUCGUGGAAGCUGGCCGUGUGAAGGACGCCCACGACGCGUUCGGCGAAAUGCUUGCGGCAGGGGUGGCGCCCAAUGCGUCGUCCUGCAACAUCCUCCUCAAGCUGCACUCGUGGACCUCCGACGACGACGACUCUCCGUACAAGACGAUCCUCUCGAUGCGAGAGGCUGGGGUGGAACCUGACGUGAGCACGUACUCCACGCUUAUCACGGGACUGUGCCGUGUGGGGAGGCUCCCCGAGGCAUGGGGUGUGCUCGAGUGCAUGCUGGAGCAGGGGUGCCGUCCCAUGGUGCAUACUUACACGCCCAUUGUACAGGGAUAUUGCCGCGAGGGCCGUGUUGGGGAGGCCAUGGACCUGAUGGCCAUGAUGGAAAAAUGUGCCGGUUGCCCUCCCAAUGUAGUCACCUACAAUGUUCUGAUCAGGGCUUUGUGCGACGCCGGCCAAUUUAAUGAAGUCAAGCAGCUUUUAACGGAGAGUAGAACCAAGGGUUGGACGCCCAGUAUUGUCACCUACAAUACGUUUAUGAAUGGUCUCUGCCAGAAAGGUAAGGCUAAGGAAGCACUUGUGCUGCUGGGUGUUAUGCUGGGCAAAGGGUUGGACCCCACAGAUUUUACUUUGAGCAUUCUUCUGAAUUGCCUUUGCCAUGCCUCGAGGAUUUCCCAUGCCAGAUACUUGCUAGAGAGGAGUACGUCAUCGAGAUGGUAUGCUGGUGUUGUUGCAUACAACACUGUGAUGGGCAGGUUAUGUGAAAUGGGACAUUGGAGGGGUGUUCUGAAGCUGUUGACUGACAUGAUCAAGAAAGGUGUGAUGCCAAACACGAGGACGUUCAACAUUGUCAUUCGUAGUCUUUGCAUUGGUCGAAAGUGCUCCGCAGCCAAGAGCCUGGUCUGUAACAAAGGGUUUGCUGCAAAUGUCGUGACAUACAAUACACUGAUUGAUUGGUUUUUCUACCAUCGAAAGCUUAGUGAGGUGGGGCACCUACUUUCUGACAUGGCAGCAGGAAAAAUUGCUGUAGAUGAAGUUACUUACACUAUAUUCGUUGUUAGAUUAUGCAGAGAUGGAAAUUUUGCUAAGGCCAGUAGUUGCUUUCUAAAAUCGCUAGAGAAUGGACUGUCAAUGGAUCUUCUUGGCGUCCUUAUAAACAGGCUUGCUUACAGUGGCAAAAUCCCGGAGACUAUUCGCAUAUUCCAGAAUAUGAGAGAAAGAAAAGGGCUUUCCCUAGAUAAUUCUAUAUUUGACCUCACAAUUGAAAGAUUCUGUAGGGCCGGUUAUUGUCACGACAAAUAUAUACAUAAUCUUAACUCUAUUCUGGAUGCAAUGUUGGGAAAGCAGUGAACUCAACUCUUGUGGAUCUAGGAAGCAGACGAUAAUUGGAGGUAGCUUACUCUUUCUUUCUGUUUUUCUCGUGAUCUGAAUUUAGAUGGAGUAGUAUUGUUCUCACUGCUGAAUUCGUCCAAUCAAUGACAAUAGGAUGUUCUGUGCAGAACUUGCAACUUUGUUCUAGUAACAAUUUCGGCUAGCAUUCAAAUUUACGGAAUCUGAAUUUGUAAGUGUGUCAUACCAAAUUGUUGGGCUAUGUAAUUAUCAAUGGUUCCAAAUGGUCUUUGUUCUAGACAAUCAUCACUAGAUUUUCCACUAACCAUAUCUUAUUGUGUGUUCUCACUUCUCAACAAUGUUGCAUGUCCAAUAACAAUCAGAUAUGAUGUACUAAUUGGUAGGAAAAUUUGCCGCUUUUGAGGGAAAUGGAAGCUUCCUGUGCCUAAAUAGUAUUUUCCUUUGUGCCACAUAUAAUGACAUAAUCAUUCAGUAACAUCUAGUCAUAUUUGCUUGUCUGGCUGACACAACUAUAGUGAUUUUCAGUGAUAUAUUUAUUUACAUUAUGAUUAUAUAUUUAAUUUAAUCAUAGUUUUCAUGUUGGUGUUUGGAACCAAUCAACCAAUACUUUAUGAAGUAAACGCUUCGUAUGACAGAUGUCGUUGUCAGAUUUUUUUUUAAAUAUUUUGGCAACUGAAAUAUCCUCUAAUUUUUGGUAUUCCUCUGAAACUAUUAUGAACAAUGUCUCCUCUAGCACACCGCAAUUCGAUCCAAGGUUUGCACGAAACAGUAGCUGUUUUGCCUUUGGCUGCCGUUAAAAGCAUUUUAACCUGAAUGAUCUGUUUUCUGGCCUGCUUGCCCAAAAACAAAGGAAUUUCUUGAAUGCAGACAUUUUGGGAUAUUAUCUGUUAUACAAGCAUACUUUUUAUUUUGUUCAGCAUUACUGUAGCUCCUUUUCUUUUACUCAGGUUUCCUUUUGAGUUAUACAUGUCAUAUUUCAGGAAUGGAUUCCCUCUUUUCAUUAUUUUCCUCCUGCCAACAGCCAUGAAUGAGAAGUGUAGACAUUGCUAAAGAUACUGAAUACGUGCUGUCUGCCUUUUAUAACAUCCCGUACAUCAAAGAUGGCUGCAUGCCUGUUUAUGUUAACAUAUUCCACCCUGCCACUCAACAGACAGAGUCUAAUUGGUGAGUUAUGGGAAGAUUGACUUAGUUGCCAACAUAGAAAGGUUUGGUAGUUGGUACUAAAAGUUAAAUAAUUAAUUAUAUUGAUUUACAUAAAUGGUAUUAUUUACGUAUCUGGUGUUGUAAACUAGUAGUAAGAACUAGCAAGCAAUAUUUUUAGGCUGGUAUUAUAAUUAUCUUUGAAUUUUAUGCAUGUUCUGCCAAGUUACAUACCUAUGCUACAAAUAUUUAGUGACUAGGACACUGAAUUUUCCCCUCUUACCUAUGCUGUUCUCCACAUAUGUGACACCUCAGCCCGGCCUGGUUGAAAUUCAGCCCAAGUGUGGCCGAUGAGUAUAUGUGUGCACCCUGUUUGUUUGAGCUUUUGCUUCUGCUUUUGCAGCUUUUCCACUUUGACAAAAAAAACAUAAAAGCUCCUAAAUAUGUGCUUUUGGAGUUUUUAUGGUUUUUGAUGAAUCAAUAUAACAAUAUUUGGCUCCAAAAGCCAUUACAGCUCGAAAAGCACCUAUUUAGGAGCUUUUAUGGCUUUUUGACCAAAGUGGAAAAGCUGCAAAAGCAAAAGCAAAAGCCCAAACAAACAGGGCCUUAGAACAUAAGUGGAGAUACGUACCACCUUGCUAGUUUGAAGGUGGCAACCACCAAUAUCAAGGGUUCCAAGGCAAUAACGUCCUGUUAGCCAUUUUUUUGCGGGAAGCAAGGACUGACAUGUAAUAAGCAGGAUAAUGCACGUUGGCAUACCCAGUAUGCAGAUUAGGUCUAAGCCAGUUGGGACCUUGGUGUGUUACCGCAUAUAGGCUUCACUGUUUGAUCUUUGAACCCUGUUUCUAUUAUAUCCACACUUGGUUAACUUCCUGUCUUCUGCAAGCUUGCAAUCAACAACAUGCUGCACAGGUGGGAUUCCAAUGCAAGUUUUUCCUAUUUAAUACAGGAUUACUGCAAUUGCAAACAGUUUUAGCCAUAUAAACUUGACAAGAUGAGGAUGGUUAUGAUCCGACAAGGGGCCUUGUGCAGUAAACCCCCUACGGACGUUCCCCGUCGAAUCAUUUGUGCUGGCAGGAUUCCUGUUAUCUGGUUCAGAAUGAAACUUGAUUAGUUAUUGUGUAUUUUUCUCUAUCUACCAUAGGUAGAGUGCAUAUAGCAUCAGGUAGGUGUUUGUGGUUACUCUACAUAGAGCUCUUUAUAGAAGACAAAAAAAAAGUGUCAGGUAGGAUUAUUCUCUUAUUCUUAUCAGCGUUUGGAUUGUGAGAUGUAGCCCAAAGACAUUAAGGUGAAUUGGAUUUUGUGUGUGUCAGACAGGUCGUGGUGCUCUAAAUAGAUUUUUCUUGUUCUGAUUUGUGUCGUUUAUUUCUGACCUCAUGAUUCUUGUUCCUUUUUUGCAGCUACUCCCUUCGUAAACAAAUAUAAAAGCAUCAAGAUCACUAAAAUAGUGAUCUAAACGCUCUUAUAUUUCUUUACAGAGGGAGUACUAGCUAGCUCCUGAACUAAUUUUGACAUAUUGCAGCAUUUUGUUUUGUUUAUUUCAGUCAUUCCGAAUGUUUCUCUUACGUUCUCAGGCUAGUAUGUCUGCCAGGUUCUUUCACUGAUGUUAGCGUAUACAUGUAUACCUCAUUCCACAGGACGCACGCAUGAUGUAGUUGUUGCUAUGGAUAAAAGUUUUAUCAUAAAACAUGUCUGCCCAAUCUGAGUUCAUCUGAAAACCUGCAUAUGCACUAGCCUUCUCUCCGUCUCCUUUUCUUGGCGCGGGGUAUGCAUAUGCUGAUAUGCACUUUACUAGACUCUGUUAAAAAAAGAUAUGUCCAUCGGGUUAUUUCAAAAAGGAAAAAAGAUAUGCCACAUCGGGUUUGUCAUGGGUAUCCGUUGAGCGAGCAUAGCAUAUAUGGUUUUUUUUAGGCAUAGAGCACAGCAUUUAGUUUUUUUUAGGGCUUUUUCUUUUAGGGGUAAUCCAAGCUUUAUUAACGAUCAAAA